Molecule: long non-coding RNA, 2232 nt
Organism: Anguilla rostrata (American eel)
Lineage: Eukaryota; Metazoa; Chordata; Actinopteri; Anguilliformes; Anguillidae
Exons: 2
Source: RefSeq, a predicted model, not a curated record
UUAAAACUGCCUUAUUUAGUGUUUUGUAUAAUCACAUAGCUGGAAACUGUGCUUAGCAUUACACUUUGAAGAAAGCUACUAAUUUUUGCUUGGAGUAAGCCCCACUGUGAGUGACAGCUGCCAUGUAGUCUGCAGCAUUAUGAGUCACUGUUUCCAUGUAGUCUGCAGCACUGUGAGCCUCUGUCUUCAUGUGGUCUGCAGCACUGUGAGCCUCUGUCUUCAUGUGGUCUGCAGCACUGUGAGCCUCUGUCUCCAUGUAGUCUGCAGCACUGAGUCACUGUCUCCAUGUAGUCUGCAGCAGUGUGAGUCACUGUCUCCAUGUGGUCUGCAGCACUGUGAGCCUCUGUCUCCAUGUGGUCUGCAGCACUGUGAGCCUCUGUCUCCAUGUGGUCUGCAGCACUGUGAGCCUCUGUCUCCAUGUAGUCUGCAGCACUGAGUCACUGUCUCCAUGUAGUCUGCAGCAGUGUGAGUCACUGUCUCCAUGUGGUCUGCAGCACUGUGAGCCUCUGUCUCCAUGUAGUCUGCAGCACUGUGAGCCUCUGUCUCCAUGUAGUCUGCAGCACUGUGAGCCUCUGUCUCCAUGUAGUCUGCAGCACUGUGAGCCUCUGUCUCCAUGUGGUCUGCAGCAUUAUGAGUCACUGUUUCCAUGUAGUCUGCAGCACUGUGAGCCUCUGUCUCCAUGUAGUCUGCAGCACUGUGAGCCUCUGUCUCCAUGUAGUCUGCAGCACUGUGAGCCUCUGUCUCCAUGUAGUCUGCAGCACUGUGAGCCUCUGUCUCCAUGUGGUCUGCAGCACUGUGAGCCUCUGUCUCCAUGUAGUCUGCAGCACUGAGUCACUGUCUCCAUGUAGUCUGCAGCAGUGUGAGUCACUGUCUCCAUGCAGUCUGCAGCAGUGUGCAGGGUUUCUACCCUCUGAUGGAGCGAGACGUUCAGAGUUCGGCCUCUGCGCAUUUUGGAAUUUUUUUUUUUUUUCUGAACUAUGAAAAAAAAACUGAGGAAACACUCAAUGGACCGGCGCAGCAGUCAGCUGACCCCGCCUGCAUGCUCUUGUGUUUGUGUGUGUGACGAUGCACAGCACAGCUCUCGCGACACACCAGACCACAAAAGAACUGGCACAAAGGAACUCUCUCUCACUUUCAGUUUUACUCUGAAAAAUGCUAAUCGCUCGACCAGAGGAACACGUUCUUGGAGGAAAAAUGUGAUGACCAACCAAAGCUGACCGCUGUAGGUUUCGGUUAACUGAACUGCAGGAGGAGCCAAGGCUUCUCUGUGUUUUCAGGUCACUGUUUAUCCUUCCCUGACCCCACUUGAACUCUCUCAACAGGAAGUCAUCCAACAGGAAGUAUUACUCAGUGCGUGUAAGUCCAUUGAAGAUGACAGUUUCAGAGAAGCAGACGCUGCGAUAUCUGGCACCUUUCCCAGAGGAGGGCUUCACGCGGUCACGUCUUGUCAGUGGAUCUCCCUUUAAGGGCGACGUUUCCGUGGUGCUCUGCCGCGAGGCGGAGCCAGCGGUUCUUUCACUAGGGUUCUCCUCUGUGGUUCAGAGGUCAAAGGUCAACCCUGCAGCAUUCAGUCGCGUCCCGGUCAGCUCCUCCCACUGCUAGACCGUCAUCUCUCUCGUAACUGUAGCAACCCGUGGAGGUCCACGCAGUUCUGUCUGCUGAGAAGAUUCCAGAAUAUCGUUGUGUUGUGUUCUGGUUCUUCUUAAAUCAUCAUUCAGAGCUCAUCAAGGCCUGGUUAUAUUUUUCCUUCUUAAAAAAUUGUUUUCUCUAUGAAUUGCAUAAUUUUGAAUCGCCUGGCAAGAACAUGUUCCUCUUUUAAAGACAACAAAUCGGUCUGUAGGACUGGUGCUUGGCCACGGCCACUAUGGUCAGUAUAUGGAAGUAACGGCUGAUUUUUUACAUUUUAUUUUUUUCUGUCUGUCUGUACGUACUCUGAGGUGAGGAUUAUCUCCUAGUGAACAAUAGCACUGUUUAAGCUCUGGUUGUAGAACUUCACCAUGUAAGUGCAAUUUGCUGUAGGGCUCUAAUUUAUUUUUUCUUUUUUGUUAAGGUCACCCUGUCUCACUCUGUACAUUUAAGUGUAAUCUAGAUGUAAAGACUGCUUUAGAGAACACGGCACUGAUUUGUAUUUCCUUUGUAUAUUGAUCAAAAGUUUGGAACGUGUACUAGUAUGGUCGCAGCAAUUUUGUACAACAUAGAAUUUCUCCUAGUAAAAUGUCUUUUAGAAAUGCA